GAUGAACGCUGGCGGCGUGCUUAACACAUGCAAGUCGAACGGAAAGGCUCCUACUUGCUGCGGUACUCGAGUGGCGAACGCGGGAGUAACACGUGGGUGAUCUGCCCUGCACUUCGGGAUAAGCCUGGGAAACUGGGUCUAAUACCGGAUAGCACGAUGGUUUGGAUGCCAUUCUGGAAAGUUUUUUCGGUGUGGGAUGGGCUCGCGGCUUAUCAGCUUGUUGGUGGAGGAAUGGCCUACCAAGGCGUCGGCGGGUAGCCGGCCUGAGAGGGGGUACGGGGACAUUGCGACUGAGAUACGCAGCAGAGUGCUACGGGGGGCAGCAGGGGGGAGCCUUGCACAGUGGGCGCACGCCUGAUGAGGCGACGCCGCGUGGGGGAAGACGGCCUUCGGGGAAUGAACAGCUGUCGCUAGAGACGCAGCGCAAGUGACGGUACCUGGAGAAGAAGCACCGGCUAACUUCGUG
This 466-nucleotide ribosomal RNA is filed under the name uncultured bacterium. Its description in RNAcentral is "partial 16S ribosomal RNA". It matches the Rfam family "Bacterial small subunit ribosomal RNA", at positions 28 to 507 of the family's 1533-position model. The record is from RNAcentral.